CGCCUACCGUGCAGUCGAACGGUCACAGGAAGAAGCUUGCUUCUUUGCUGACGAGUGGCGGACGGGUGAGUAAUGUCUGGGAAACUGCCUGAUGGAGGGGGAUAACUACUGGAAACGGUAGCUAAUACCGCAUAACGUCGCAAGACCAAAGAGGGGGACCUUCGGGCCUCUUGCCAUCGGAUGUGCCCAGAUGGGAUUAGCUUGUAGGUGGGGUAACGGCUCACCUAGGCGACGAUCCCUAGCUGGUCUGAGAGGAUGACCAGCCACACUGGAACUGAGACACGGUCCAGACUCCUACGGGAGGCAGCAGUGGGGAAUAUUGCACAAUGGGCGCAAGCCUGAUGCACCCAUGCCGCGUGUAUGAAGAAGGCCUUCGGGUUGUAAAGUACUUUCAGCGGGGAGGAAGGGAGUAAAGUUAAUACCUUUGCUCAUUGACGUUACCCGCAAAAGAAGCACCGGCUAACUCCGUGCCGCGCCCCGGGGGAAUAUAAAAAGGC
RNAcentral lists this ribosomal RNA (497 nucleotides) under uncultured bacterium. RNAcentral's name for it is "bacterial SSU rRNA". It matches the Rfam family "Bacterial small subunit ribosomal RNA", at positions 45 to 533 of the family's 1533-position model. The record is from RNAcentral.